CUACGGGAGGCAGCAGUAAGGAAUAUUGGUCAAUGGACGAAAGUCUGAACCAGCCAUGCCGCGUGAAGGAUUAAGGCCCUCUGGGUUGUAAACUUCUUUUAUCUGGGACGAAAAAAGGGUAUUCUUACUCACUUGACGGUACCAGAGGAAUAAGCACCGGCUAACUCCGUGCCAGCAGCCGCGGUAAUACGGAGGGUGCAAGCGUUAUCCGGAUUUACUGGGUUUAAAGGGUGCGUAGGUGGGUCUGUAAGUCAGUGGUGAAAUCUCCGAGCUUAACUCGGAAACUGCCAUUGAUACUAUAGGUCUUGAAUUAUCUGGAGGUAAGCGGAAUAUGUCAUGUAGCGGUGAAAUGCUUAGAUAUGACAUAGAACACCAAUUGCGAAGGCAGCUUACUACGGAUAUAUUGACACUGAGGCACGAAAGCGUGGGGAUCAAACAGGAUUAGAUACCCUGGUAGUCCACGCCCUAAACGAUGGAUACUCGACAUCAGCGAUACACUGUUGGUGUCUGAGCGAAAGCAUUAAGUAUCCCACCUGGGAAGUACGAUCGCAAGAUUGAAACUCAAAGGAAUUGACGGA
This 578-nucleotide ribosomal RNA is filed under the name uncultured bacterium. Its description in RNAcentral is "bacterial SSU rRNA". It matches the Rfam family "Bacterial small subunit ribosomal RNA", at positions 339 to 917 of the family's 1533-position model. The record is from RNAcentral.